CCCAGGCCACCGAAGCAGAGCGUGCAAACUUAACCACUCGGCCAUGGGGCUGGCCCCUCUGCCCUCUCUUCUUUAUAUCAAACCUAUUUCUUUCAUGCACAGAAACUGCAGACACUCAGACUUACAAGCUUUAAAAAACUGACAUUAUAUGUGAUAUUAAAUACAUUAUAUAUUAUAUACAUUACAGACAAUCACCAGAUAGACUGUGUUCCAAUUGUCUUUCUCUGUGGUCACAGGGAAAAAAACAGAAAACCAGGGAUAUUUUGGUGAAAAAUUUCAACUAGAAAGACAAGGGAAGGGAAAAAUCUGAAAAAGUCCUCAAGGGGCCUAUGACAUUCCAUCUUUCCAAAGGGAAAAAAUAUUAAGUGUUUAUAAAGCAUUGGAAAUAACAGGGAAAGUUCAUCUUAUAUUUUUAAGGUGAAGAAAGGGGGCUCAAGAAUGCAAAACUGCCUACAUGUUCCUCAUUUUUUUUUGCGUUCACUUUGCACCUAUUACCUAGCUUUUUCCAUGAGGCAUGUAUAUUCCACUCUUCUUAAUCUGGCCCUCUGGUGCAGGGGAUGUGAGCCGAAGAUGUCAAGAAGGUGCAAAGGCUCCACAUUUUAAAAUGUUACGCCUGAGGUUAACAGACAUGUAGUUUUAAUUCUAAAUUUUGCCUGAGGAAUGGUGAAAAGGAAGAAGAUGCAAAUUUUAUACAAAUAUAUUCGUGCACCUCUUUACUUCACAAGCUUGGAUACACAGCUUGGAUAAAUUUUGGUGGCCACCGCCCACGCUGAGGUAUCAAAAUGCAGGGUAUUAUUUAAAUGCAAAGUAAUUAUCCCAUUAAUUCACUUCCAUCUUGAAAGUGCAACCAGAGAAAAAAAGAAAACAAAUCAUCUGGGAGGUUGCAAGUCACAUGCAUAAUUAAUUUGCCUGCCGAAUUUGGCGUCUUAGCUUUUGUGCCUGUGGAGAACAUAAUCUCUUUUGCAUUUUAGCUCUGCCAGUCAAGAGGAUGUGUGCGUGUGUGUGUGUGAGAGAGAGAGAGACAGAGAGACAGAGAGACAGAGAGGAGGAAAGAGAGACAGCAAGAAACAGAGAGGAGAGAGAGAGAGCAUGUCGAGCUGUCCAUGUAACUGAUGCUGGACUAAAACAAGAAUCAAUGCUGCAACCACAGAACUGUGGCUUUGCUGGUUCCUCAAUUUAACAUCUUAGCUUUUCCUUCCGCCAGAAAAAACAACUGACCAUAUUUGAGAAACAAGCCUCCUUAUAAUUUACCAGCGGGACUGACACAGGCGGGGCUCUGAAGUUGAGCAAAACUUAUUUUAACUCAUUGUCUGCAGUAUCUUACGAGAUGGAGCAAUUAUGAAAUUACUGGGAAGAUUGAUGUAAUGACUGAAAUUGACAAACCAAAACAACGGGAACAGUCAAUAGUUUAAGGAAGUUGAAUCAGGAGGGAACUGAGAAAAACAACAGGGAGACGCCAUCUGGAGAGUCCAGUGAUUACAGCAGCUGCAGGGAGAAGCCACCAGAAGAUGAAUGUCUAAUCGGGUAGGAACUUCUGAGAACUUCAAAAAGAAAAGAAUGUGAAACAUGGAAAACUCUUGACUUAAGAAGUGCAUUGCCAUCUGGCAAAAUAGGGAAAUUUAAAACUCUUGGAACCUGCUGACGUUGAUUAGUUUUAUAUUUUGGUGGGCUCUAAUGUUAAUUUUUAUUUCUGCGGGGUUCAAUAUGCAGAUGGAAUAGCAUCACUUCAGUUGAUGAUACUUGUGAGUUGGGAAACUAGCAGACAAAAAAACCCUAGGAAGACAAUUAGAUUAAUCUAAAUAAUGUCACUUUGCUAUAAAACCUGCUAUUAGUGAUAAAGUCCAAUGCCUUUAUAAUCCUACUUUAUAAAUUUCUGGCUCUUCAUAAAUGUAGUCUUAAGAGUAAAUUUCUUAAUUUUAUUUUACCUAACAUGAUUUUGAAAUUCGUUUGCCAUCUCUUCUCCAUAUACAGAGGGGCCUUAGCUCUUUAGGUAACAAGGGGAAAUUGACUUGAGAGUUUUCUGAGGAUAAUCCAAAGUGACUACUUUAAAGUUAAUGAUAUUUGUUCCUGUGUUCUUUGUCAUCAAAGAAGCCCAGUAUUAUCAGGUACGUAGUUUUGACAAGGGUAGCUAAAUUUCAGCUCAGUUAAUGUAGUUAGACUAAAAUAAUGAGACUAUAAUUUUGCCUAUUUGCUAUGAUUCUUGGGCAAUUUCUUAAAUUCCUUGAAGUCAAUGUCCAUUUAGUGCUUUGAGGCUAAAAUGAAGAAUAGUGCUUUGGCAAAGAGGAAGCAUGGUUGAAGGCAAAAUAUUACAUUUUUGUUGUAUCUUCUUUCAUAGCAGUCAUUGGGGGGAACUCAGUAAAUACUAAGUUAAAUGAAAUCAAAGAAAAGACUUUCAUGUGUUUCUAAGGAACUGAGAAAAAAUACCUGUGACAAAUUUUCAAUUUGAUAAAUAUCAUUAGUACCCACCACGUGCUAGGAAAGGUAGAGAAGGGGCUCAGGCUGUCAGCAAAUAAGGCCUUGAAACUAAAACAAUAUGAUUCCUGCUAUAAUUACUCUAAGGUCAAAGCAUUAAGCAAACACACACAGAAGAAACAGUAGGAGCAAGAAGGCGGGGGCAGGUCCAGUAGGGAAGGUCUUGAAAAGGAUAUGUUUCUUGAAAUGAGCCUUGAAAAAUGACCACAUGUUUUACAAAUAAAGAAAGCAACUGGAGAAACAGUUGGAGCCAAAAGAAGUGAAAUAGCUUGGAACUUUCUGGUGGCUUGUGGUCUUGUGUGGGUAAGUGAGAACGUGGGUAAGUGAGGGGGGCGGUGAGAAGAUGUGGGACAGCUAGAGCAGAAGGAAGUGACAAGAAAGAAGGUUGGGGAAGUGGCUGAGGCAAGUCUGUGAAGACAUACAAUUCUUUAGUAAAAUUAUGCAUUAAGUAAAAGAAAAUACUUCUUCAUCCUAUUAUUAUAUGAAACCUGCAAUGAUAUCUCUUAUUUAUAAAAAUAUAAAUGUUUCUGAGUUUAUUGCAAUUUUUUCCUUCUCUUUUUCCCUCUCUUUUGUGUUUUCUCUCUCUUUUAAAAUUGUGGGUGCGAAUAUCUCUUCAGUCAGCUUCAGAAAUAAAAGCCUGUAAUGAUCUACAUCUGGGAAGAGCAUGCUGGUGUGGAAGAGAGAAUCUGGAAGAGAUAGAAAAUUAUAGAAAGGCAGUAUGGAGCCUGAAAUCCUCGCUACCUACCGCCUCUCACCCCCUCCAACUGCCCAGUGACUCUGGACCAGUUCCUUCAAUGAUCUAAGCCCAUUCUUCAACUCUAAAGAUAGUUGAGAGGAUUAAAUGAGGUAAUGCAUGGAGAGUGGCUACACACAGCAUAAUUUAUGAAGGAGACAAAACUUAAAAUACGACAAAGAAAAGCAUCCUGAGAUACUAAUGAAAUGUCUCCCUAAGCACAACUCCACCCCAUACAGCAUGCUUGUUCAAAGAGCAAGACCCAGAAGAUUCUUCCCUGAUGAUACUGGGAGUGAGCCAGAACGAAGAGGAAUGGAUAUUUUCUAACACACCAGGUUGACGCUUUAACAAUCUAAACUCGAUUUAAAUCAAGAGACUUUUUCUAUUUUGAAUUAACUUUUUCAUAUUCUGUUUUAUUCCCUCCCAAUGCAAGGAAAAUACUGAUCUUCCUUUGCAUCCUAAUUUAUUUUAUACUCAUUAAUAUUUUUACUAAAAAUAAGACACAGAAUAUUUUUAAUUUGUUCUUUUCUGGGAUGCAAGUCCUCCCCCUGCAAUUUCACAUUUUUGCCAGUUUAAAACUAUUCAGGUGAGAUGUAUGAGACAAUGCUGAUGGUCACAUUUUGCAAAUUCCAGAAAUUCACAUAUGUACAUAUACGGUUAACUCCAUUCAAAUUGGCCUGUGAACGUAUUCUUCAAACAAUUUUAUUUAAUAGAAGCCAAUGAUGAUAAAUGUAUGUAAAUUCAAAAUUAAGAUGUGUGGAUAAACUACCUUUGUUUAAUGAAACUUUUUAAAAAAGUGGUCCUGAGGAAGUAAUUUUAGAAAACAAGUUGCUGUAUUUGAUUAAGAAAAAUUGGGUUUUCAUAAGUAUGCUGAUGAAUGAAUCCAUUUCCAGUCAAAAUGGCUUUUACGUUUAUCAUCUGUCAAUGGUUCUUAAUAUUGUUGGAUAAUGAUAAUUAAAUAAAGGCUGAUGCUCCAAGAUCCAAAGUCUAUGUUUCAACAAAGUUCCUGGAAUAAACAUCCCAUAUCAACUUUAUAAGAAUUUCUAUUGUAGACAGAAGCCUUUCUUCUAGAAUUUAAUGGUCAUUUGUAGGGUCAUAAGCAUAACGAAUAGUUCCGACAAAUCUAUGAGAACAGUACAAUUAAGCAACACAAAUUGCUUUUAUUUUUAGAGAAUAAACGGAGAAGAGGCGGCCUCUACUUCCAUGUGGUUAUUAAGCACACCCAUUAAAAACCGUUGGCGCCAAAAUCACUCAGAUAACCAGUAUCACACUCAGUAACAUAUGACUCAAGAUGUUAAUAUAUCCACUGAAGUACUGGCAAGAAGUUUUUUAGAAAAACAGAACCACAGGAGCUAAAAUUAAACUACCUCCAUUAGGCCAAUGAGCAACUCAAUCUAAAUGAUCAAUAUGCACUUUCCUGAAAACAUUUUAAAGCAGAUAAAAUCACAGUAAAUAGCCUCCCUAAAGGACCAAUAAAAUAAAUCAGAACAUGGUUUGGUUUAGAAAGGAAAAAAAUGAUAAUUUUUUUUGGGAAGGGGUGAUAACUGUGAUAACCGGGGAAGAAAUCAUCCUAGAGAGCUGAGGGGGCCCACUCUGCAGGGCCACAUGAGGUGGCUUUGCUGGGAAGCUCCAUGGUGGCAGGGCUCACACAGGGCUCAUGUGACAGGUGCUCAGAUCUCUAGUACCCUUAAGGCAAAACCCACAACCCACAGAAACAGAGCCGACCAACAAGCAAAACGUCCUAAGCACUUAGAAAAAGCAAAAAGACUUAAAGAAAA
This is a non-coding RNA of Equus caballus (horse), 4983 nucleotides long. NCBI's taxonomy places the organism in Eukaryota, Metazoa, Chordata, Mammalia, Perissodactyla, Equidae. The record is from RefSeq and is a predicted model, not a curated record.